Molecule: transfer RNA, 62 nt
Filed under: Eisenia nordenskioldi nordenskioldi
Lineage: Eukaryota; Metazoa; Annelida; Clitellata; Crassiclitellata; Lumbricidae
Description: tRNA-Thr
Rfam family: tRNA
About the family: Transfer RNA (tRNA) molecules are approximately 80 nucleotides in length. Their secondary structure includes four short double-helical elements and three loops (D, anti-codon, and T loops). Further hydrogen bonds mediate the characteristic L-shaped molecular structure. tRNAs have two regions of fundamental functional importance: the anti-codon, which is responsible for specific mRNA codon recognition, and the 3' end, to which the tRNAs corresponding amino acid is attached (by aminoacyl-tRNA synthetases). tRNAs cope with the degeneracy of the genetic code in two manners: having more than one tRNA (with a specific anti-codon) for a particular amino acid; and 'wobble' base-pairing, i.e. permitting non-standard base-pairing at the 3rd anti-codon position.
Source: RNAcentral
GAAUUGAAAGCUAAUUUAAGCAUUGGUCUUGUAAAUCAAAGAUAGAGUUCUCUCUCAAUUCU